Pteropus vampyrus (large flying fox) is the source of this 119-nucleotide ribosomal RNA. The record is from Ensembl. Lineage: Eukaryota; Metazoa; Chordata; Mammalia; Chiroptera; Pteropodidae.
AUCAAUGGCCAUGCUACCCUGAACAAGCCUGGUCCCAUCUGAUCUUGAAAGCUAAACUGGGUUGGGCCUGGUUAGUACUUGGAUGGGAGACCACCUAGGAAGACCAAGCCCUGUAGGCU